AUCGCGACGUAAUGUUCCCGCGAAAUUUGUCAUCGCGUUAUUUAAUUGUUUUAAAAUGAAAGGAAUUAAAGAAAUAUAUAUGGAGCACAUGGUUGCACGUGGUGACAGCGUGGGUGACUGAAUUUCUAGGUUCGUAAAUUUCAUUCUUAUAAUUAUUACUGUUAUUAUGAUUAUUUAAAAAGAUAUUUUCUUAAGUUUUUUCUAGGUUCUUAGGUUUUUCAAUAACUUCUGCUGAUGAGAUGCAGCAACAGGAGAAGAUAAAAAUCAAAUUAUUACUGAAAACAUUAACUGUUUACAUUGUUGUUUUAGUAAUAUAUUUAAUUUUAAUUAUUAAAAUGUAUCUUUAAAGAAAGAGGAAAAAAAUAUGUAGCAUCAGAGGGGGUACUAACGAAAACAGCAGGAUGUUUUCCUUCCCCUAAGAGAGAAAGGAUAAGAAGAGGAUGGCGCAGUGGGUGGAAGUAUGUGACAACCCAAAGUAAGUGCUUCCUCCUGAAAACUGAAAUUCUGGGUGAUCUGUAGCAGCUACUUUGAAGAAAAAUACUUCAUACGGAAAAGAUUUACAACAUCAGCAGUUCCAACAUGUCAGAGGCUGCCGCAAUUAAAGAAAGGUGAUAUGAUUUUUCGAAGAAAAGGUCAUAUUUUAUUCCAAGUGUGGCAAGACAAACGAGAUAUCUAAAUGAUAUCAUCCAUUCAUAACACAAAAAUGAUUGAUACCAACGAGAAAACUAAAUAUGGUGACAAAAUUUUUAAACCUAAAUGUAUUAUUGAAUAUAAUAAAUAUAUGAAGGGUGUCGACAGAGCUGAUUAAUACUUAUCGUAUUUUGGAGUUUUGAGAAAAAUUCAAAAAUGAACAAAAAGAGUAGUACUAUUUUUGAUAAAUUGUGCUCUUCUUAAUGCUUA
This is a long non-coding RNA of Osmia bicornis bicornis, 900 nucleotides long. RefSeq lists it as uncharacterized. The transcript has 2 exons. The record is from RefSeq and is a predicted model, not a curated record. NCBI's taxonomy places the organism in Eukaryota, Metazoa, Arthropoda, Insecta, Hymenoptera, Megachilidae.